This 14266-nucleotide long non-coding RNA is filed under the name Solanum tuberosum (potato). Its description in RNAcentral is "long non-coding RNA (STUB_LNC006582)". The record is from RNAcentral. Lineage: Eukaryota; Viridiplantae; Streptophyta; Magnoliopsida; Solanales; Solanaceae.
AGACUAUAAGUUUCUCCCAAUUCAACAUUCCAUCUAUUGUAGGGGCGUCACCUCCCCCUACAACCACCAUACACCGUCGCAAAACCACCUCAUCAGGGAGGUUAUCUCCGGUCCUCGCGGUGGCUUCACCCACAACUUCUCCAUCACGCCACCAGGUCACUCACUCAAUGCCACCAGAAAAAUUGGAAAUCUUCAAGUCAUUAGAACCUUGGGUUUCCGAAAACAUCCUUCCACUCCGCAAGCCCGUAGAGAAAUGUUGGCAGCCCAUUGAGUUUCUCCCUGACCCAUCUCAAGGGCCCGAACAAUUCACCGAAGAGGUUCGGGCCCUAAGGCAAAGAGCUUCAGGGCUUUCGAAUGAGUACUUUGCUAUGCUUGUGGGUAAUAUGCUAACUGAGGAUGCUUUGCCUACCUAUCAGACCUUGUUUAAUACGUUAGAUGGAGUACACGAUGAGACUGGAUGCAGUCCAUGUCCAUGGGUAAUUUGGAGCCGGGCAUGGUCAGCUGAGGAGAAUCGACAUGGCGAUCUGCUACGAACUUAUCUUUAUCUUUCAGGGAGAGUGGACAUGUUGAUGAUUGACAAGACACUACAAUACUUGAUUGGAGCUGGAAUGGUAAGGCUUACUCUGAAAUAACAUUAUGUAAUCAACGGUUGCAUGCAACUUCUUUUGUCAUGUGUUUUUGAAUCUAUGGAUAUGUUAGGACAUCGGACUAGAGAACAAUCCGUAUUUGGGCGUUGUAUACACAUCAUUUCAAGAGCGAGCCAUGUGUUCGUCACAUGGAAAUAUGGUUAGGCUAGCUAUAGAAGGUGGAGAUCCCAUGCUAGCACGUAUGUGUGGAACCAUUGCCACGGAUGAGAAGCGGCACGAACAUGCCUACACAAGAAUUAUUGAGAAGCUUCUAGAAGUGGACCCAAAUGCGACUAUGCUAGCUAUUGCAGACAUGAUGAAGAAGAAGAUCAUAAUGUCGAUGCAUCUCAUGUAUGAUGGGAAAGAUCCAAAUAUAUUUGAGAACUUUUCUACCAUUAUUGAAAGGCAAGGAGUUUACACAUCUCGUUACUAUGCUGAAAUAUUAGAAUUUUUUAUAACACGAUGGGAAUUGGAAAAACUUGAAGGCUUGAUUGACGAGGCAAGGCGUGCACAUGAUUAUGUGUGUGGACUUCCACCUAGGGUUAGGAAGUUGGAAAGUAGAGCCAAGAAAAUAGAGCCACGUCAAGUGAAGUUUAGUUGGAUCUUUAACAAACAAGUGACUGCUUAGAUGAAUUGAUUCGUUAGGCGAACUCAAGAUUUGAAGACUUUGGAUGCACCAAUAUUAUCUUAAUUUAAGCAUUAGUGAAACUUUCAAAUUAAGGUCAAGGUGGGUUUGUUCUACUGAAUGAUCAUGGGUUUCAAUCUCUUAUCUAGCAAUUUAAUGUUAUAAAUAAGCCCCUUUAAAUUCAAAAUUUAUAAUAAAAACAGUAAAAUAUAGUUCUUGGGCUCAAACCUAGGUCACGAGAGCGGAUGCACUAGCCUUUACCAACAGUACCAAGUGUCAUCCUAUUCUUUCCAUGGGGGCACUGUUACUUAUAUUUAGUUUAUGUCAGUUUCUCAAGAUAAAUAUAUAUACAUUUUUUUCAAAAUUAACGGGUGCACAGGCAUUCCCACCUAUACAAGUGGGUCUGCCUCUGGUCAUAAGGAUGUAAAACAAAAGCUUAAUUAUCCUUUCACUGAUAAUCUUUUUCGCUAAGCUGGUAAAAUAAACUUAUCUUGAGACAUAUAUACUUCUUAUUAAAUCCACAUAGGGUUACCAUUAAAUAUACUUCUUGUUUGAAUAAUCUUGUCAAAAAAAAUUAAAAGUACCUAUAUAUUUGGGAGAAACUACGUACUUUUGUCAGUUUUUGCUUAAAAGAUGGAAAUUAAAACAAUUUUUGCAACCACUCAAAUCACUCACUUUCACCUAUAAUCACUACAAGAAAAAUGAAACUAGCUACAAAGUAAAACUAGUACGUUGUUGUAGCUAAUUAAUUAACUAUGGCGAGCAGAACAUAUAUGCGUGCAAAUGAAGAGGCAAAGACACUACGUUUUAAUCAUCUAAUACAUUUUUCAUUUUUGUUAUGGAUACAGUUAGCAGACAAACUAGCUAGGAACUAUUUUUUUCUGGAACGGUUUUGAAUUUUACUACUCCCUCCGUCCCAUUUUAUGUGAGGUUGUUUGGCUCGGCACGGAGUUUAAGAAAGAAAGGAAGACUUUUAAAACUUAUGGGCCAAAAUAAAUAAUAGAAAUUUGUGUGACUAUAAAUUAUUUCAUUAAGGAUAAAAUAGACAUUUCAUAGUUAAAUUAUUACUUAAUAUAGAAAUAUGUCAUUCUUUUUGAGACUAACUAAAAACGAAAGUAAGUCACAUAGAUUUGGAUUAUAUAUGUUCGUCCUUCGCAUGAACACUAAAAUGUGUAAGGCUUGGUUCAUUUUGUUUUAAUUAAUUCGUGAGUUUAUUCUGAAUUUUACAAUCUUGAUUAAGGAUCAGAUACGCAUCAAUCCGAUCUAUUGUAUGAAUUAAUAUGAAUGGAACUAUCUAUCUCUCAGAUGGAUCGGGAAACUAAUGAGGAACUAAGGGAUUAAGAGUUUAAUUCCUAGGUUGCAAGAGGUUAUAAUCUAAAAUUUUGCUCAGCAAUUUAGUGAAGUUGUUGAAGAAAUACUAUGUGAGAAAACGUGAUUUUUUCUUUCUUGAACAAGGAAGUUUCCAUAAAUAUUAGUAUGUGUCUUGAUGUUUUGUAGUCUUUUUUCUUAUGUUCUUACACCGUUCUCAGUUAAAGACCUGAUUCCUUGACUCGUGGUGGAUUCUCACAAGCCAUUAAGAGAAAAUGAUAUUUCAAUUGUUGAUUUUUCAGAUGGUCACUCAACUUAUAUGUAUUAUAUCAUAAAGUCAUUUUCUUUAUUGAGAAAAUGAAAAUCAAGAAAAAAUGUGACUUUAUGAGAUAAUAACAAUUAAUAGAAUGAUUAUCUGAAAAAUUAACUCUUCGAAUUCUAAUAGGUGUGCUUGAUCAAUCACUACAACAAAAACAUUUUUUAGCAGCAAUAAAUAGACAGAUCAAUAAAGGGUGCUAAAGUCUUUACCGGCAUUAGUUAAGUGUCAUUAGAUCCAAUGUCGCUAAAGACUUUAGGAACAUAUACAAAUAGUGCUAAUUGCUGUUAAAAAUACAUAUUUAGCGGCAAUUAAGCUAUUAUUGUUAAUUAAUUGUGCUAAAGAUAUUUUUUAGUGUAGAGAAUAAAAAUAGAUUAUAUUGAUUGUGGACCAUUUUAUUUACGACCCUAUCAAUUGGCUUCAUUUGUCAAAGGAGGCAGUUAACAUUAAUGUCAUAGCUUGAAAAUUAUAUAGAGGAAACAUGUGGGUUAAGCGUAAACUACGUCAAAAUUUAAUGUAUUCUCUUUCAAGUAGUAGUAAUUCCCCAAGCUAAAUGAAGGAGUCUAAACACUCUACUUCUUAAAGUUACGUGCUGAAAAGAUAAGAGGAUAAAGAGAAGGCAAGAAAAAAUAAAAAGGAAACACAGAAAAUAGUUUUGUCUAACUCAAUUCAUUUAUAUUUACUUCAAGGGUUAAAGGGUUAAAAACACAUAAAAUUAUUUCACUUUAUUGAAUUUUCUACCUGAAUUAUUAAAAGUAUGAGUUUUCUACUUCAACUAUCAUCACUGGUUAGCGAAACACACCUAGACGUUGACUAGAUCAAAUGUUUGUCUAAAAAUACUUCUAGGAACGUUUGCCCAUAAAAUCUUCAUCCACAGUCAUAUAUAAUAUCUUUAUUUUCUGACAAAUUAUUUUUAAAAUAUAUUUUUAAUUGACUUCUUUAAAAUUCUAAACUUUCCCCUUUCAAGUCGGAAAUAUCAAUUCCAUGACAAAGACGAGACCACGUCUAAGAAAGUGGAGAAUAUGGGGAUAGUUUUAACCUUUUAACCUAAUAUUAAUUUAUUUAGAUUUGACAUGCUGAAAUUAUUUCUUCGCAUUGACUUUUUAAAAAUCAAUUAAUGGGUAUAUUUUUUUAAAUAAACUUAAUUUGUUAGAUAUGUUCUGAAUAAGUCUAUUGAAAAAUUAUUUAUUCAUAAAAUGCAUUAAUUGUUGAUAAUUUUUAUACCAAAUAUUCAUUGAUGAAGCUUCAACAAUGAUAAUGGUGAAGAAGGUAUAGUUGUAUAGCUAAAUAAGAAGAAAGAAAGAGAAGAAAAAAGGGAAGUUAAAAAAAAUAGGCAACUCACUCUCUCAAAGAGAGUGAAAUACAGAGUCCGAAGCCGAAGGGGUAAGAAAAAUUCCAAAAGGGCAACAAAAUUAAUUAUAGAACCAAAAUGGCAACUUUCUAACGGAGAAUUUGGCGACUAAAAUCAGGGCAGCCGCCGCAAGGCACGGAAUUUCGUGCGCCUUGCGAGGCGCAGCCAUCAUGCGCCUUGCAAGGCACAUGAAAUUUAGCGCCUUGCGGUGGUUUUUUUUUUUUAAUUAAAAUAUUUCAUUCCAUGUAUUAAGUAUAUUAUUGGGCUUAAUUUUAGGAUAUUCGUAAAUCUUUUAAUUGUAGAUAGAGUUUAAAUAUAUUAUUAUUAUAUUAUUAUUAUUAUUAUUAUUGUUAAUAUUUAAUUUUUACAUCUUUAUAUUUUAAAAUUAAUUAAUUUCUAAAUUCAACAUUUAAAUAAUUCUAUAUAAAUAAAAUUUAAAUAUAUAUAUAUAAAUUACAAACAAAUAAAAUUUGAAAAAAAUAAUAUAUGUAAAAAUGACAAACAAACAAAAUUUGAAAAAAAAUAAAAUAAAAAAAUAAUAAUCCAAAGUUAACAAGGCGCAGGGCACCUUAGCCUUGUAAAGGCGCAGGCAUUUCAUUCCUUAAAUUUCCCGUGAAACUUUUACAGUGUUGAAUCAAAUCAACAUUGUAAAAGUUUCAUGUGGGUAUAUGUUUCAACAAAAAUAAAAAAAAAUUCAAUUAAUAGUAAAAAAUUAUUAGAUAAAGUGAAUUUAGAAAUUAAUUAUUUUUAAAAUAUAAAGAUCUAAAAAUUAAAAAUUAAAUAUUAACAAUAAUAAUAAUUAUUAUAAUAUAUUUAAACUCUAUCUUUAAUUAAAAGGUUUUACGAAUAUCCUAAAAUUAAGUCCAAUAAUAUACUUUUAAAAAAUAAUCAAUUUUUAUAAAACUAUUUUAAGAUUUUUACUUAUUAAUUUAAAUUCAUACAAUAUUUGAAUGAAAUAAAAACUCCAAAAUGAGGGCCAACCUUAACAUGGAAUGAAACUGAACAAUUUUUUUUUUGGGAUAUCAAUUCCACGACAAAGACGAGACCACGUCUAAGAAGGUGGUGAAUACAUGGUGAUAGUUUUAACCUUUCACCUAAUAUUAAUUUAUUUUGAUUUGACAUGGUGAAAUUAUUUCUUCACAUUAAGUGUCACGUGGCAGGAUUUUUAAACAAAAGAGAGAGUGUACACACAUUAUCUGAAAUUAGUCUAGGUGUGUUUCGCUAACUAUUGACUGAUAGUUCAGGUAGGAAACUGACGCUCUCAAUAGUUCUGAUAUAUUUAGGUAUAUUUUUGACCCUUACCUCUUACUUGAAAUUUAAUUUCCUUAAACCCAAGCGCAGCAUUCUUUUAUGUGAUUCCCCCUUACAGCUUGUUUGGAUGAUCCUUACAUAAUGUUUGUUUUGUUGUCUUAUUGUUAUUUUAAAUAUAAUAUUUAUUUUGUUUGUUACUUAAAUUUUAUUAUAUCAUUAAUUCAUUGUUCUAUAAUGACAAAAAAAUUAUUUAUAUAUAGCGAUUGAUUUGAUUUGAUCGCUUUGUUGAUUUAUUUAUUUUCCUAUGUUACCCUUACUUAUUAUUUAAUAAUAUUAAUUUACACUUUAUUCUUUCAUUAAUAAUAAUUCUACCUCGUAUUGAUUUGUUUUCUUUAAAAUUUUAUAAGCUUAUUCUUUAAAUUGUUGGUGCAUGAUAUUAUAAAAUGACAACGGAAUUCAUACACACUACUCAAACAUUAAUAAUUAAAACAUGAAUCCCUACACCAAUUUCAACAAAUCCAAAUGUAAAAUCAAAGAACAAAAUGCUAAUCCUUUUCAGGCUCAGAUUGCGGACGAAUGUUUUAUUUUCAAAUCAGCUUAAAAAAUGGUCAUAAGUUGAUAAAACAUCUAAAAGACUUCAUCCAUUUUCUAAGAUUUUCCUACUAUUGUCAUGAUCCAAAGAGGUCAUGAUGGUACACACCCUGUAAAUUCAAUUUGGUGUGUAAGUCGAAUGAUAUAACACAUACAAGACUUCCAAAAAAAAGUCAGGCCAAAACUAAAGAGAAAAGAAAUAAAAUAAAGAUGUUCUCAAAAGCUGGUAUCAUAAGCACAAAGAGCAUCUAAUAUACUCUUAGUAUCUAAAACAUCUAAAGACUUCGAAGAGAAAUUAGAGACAAUGAAAGCUAGAGACCAAUGACGAUCCGAAAAGCAGGAUCUCACCACAACUCCGAAUGGAAUCACCGACUAGAUUUGAUCAAUCACCACGAGGAGUCAUCCAAUAAGUCUUCUUGAGGCAGUGAGGAGUCAUCCGAAAGUCGGUACGAUCCUAUCCUAUGCUGGCUACGUAGUUUUGUGGAGUUUCGAGUUAAAAAUAGACUCUUACCCAAAUUGAUGAUCGAUACUACUCCCAGGAUGAUCAAUAUCAAUAUGCUCAAUAGUUCUCUGAGAGAACUUACUUUACAUUACUUUUACUUUCCUUUACUAAAGUACUUUUCAGAAAAUCAAUUAUACUAUUUCUCUUUCUGAACUAUCAAAUAGUACAUAUGAAACCACUCGUAUCCUUUCUUUAAAAAUUCAUUUCAAAACAUGCAUUUAAAAUGUAACUUUUGGACUCGCCUUUCAAGUCCAAAAUCGAUAUAUCAGAAAUCUUAUAUAUUAAUCUUUAUAUAAAAAAAAAGGUUCAUGUGAUACAAAGCAUGAACAGAAAUUUAAAAUUCAAUAUGCAUAAUAGAAAUUAAAAUCUCAACGGUUAAGGAAUUGGAACUCAGAAUAAGAAACACAAUUGAAUUUGGAUUUCAAAAAAAAUUGCGGAUAUAAUUCUAUACAUAACGUUUCACUGACUGAAUUAAGAUGUAGGGCGUGCGAACGAACUAAUCCAUCACUAUGAGUAGCCUUACAUAUCUGGAAGAACAAAGUACUUGAAGAAGUUUCAAGAAGAACUUAAUUGGAAGCCUUAAAUGCCUAGAUUUUGUCUUUCUUGCGGUUUUCUUUCUAUGUAGGGGAGUUGAGAGCAUAGGAUUAAAAGAAAAUUGAUUACUUGAUGGAAUAUAUUCCCCUAAUUGAAGUUAAAAUAUCAUGGUUUGGGCUUAGAAAAUAUGGGAAAAGACAAAAGAAACCCCACUUAAAAAUAUGUUAAAAACCUUCCACGGGGCCAUCUAUGGUUCAUGGUUUGAUCUACGGACUGUAGAUCCCAUCCCUGAAAUUCAUAUAGAAGUUUUACGACUCAGAAGUUCAUUCUACGUGUGCAAAUUACAACCUGUAGAAGUUCGUAUGACCCGUAGAUGGGUCCGUAUAAAUUGGACCCAAAAAUUUGACUUUCAAUACUUUUUCCACAAGUCAUCAGUAUGGGUCAUAGCCUUUUCUACAACUCGUGGAAGUGAUUCUUAGGUCACUGACUCAGAAAACUUUGUUGUAGUAGUCUCUGGUAAAACAAUCAUAACUUUUUUUACUCUGAACUCAAAAUAAGGCUCGGGUCGUAGAGAAAUGAUGGCAUCCCACUGAGUUUCUUCCUGACCCAUCUCAAGGGGUAAUGAUUGUAUAUGUAUAUCGGUUAGAUAAUUAUAUAUAUGUAACUAUCGUAUAUAUGUAUCAAUGAUUGUGUUUGUAUAUCUGCAUACAAUUUGAAUUUGUAUACAAUUGAAUCGAAUUAAAACAUUUGUAUAUCAAAUCUCUCCCUCGCUCUAUACAACACAAAUUAUACAUAAUAUUUUGUAUAAUUUGUGUUUGUAUAAAGUGAGAAAAGAGAACUAGCAGGGGAAGAUUUGUAUUGUAUAAUUAUAAGUGUAUAAGACGAAGAGAUAUGUAUUUGUAUAUGCAGUUUUCUCUUACUUUAUACAAACACCAACACAGUUUAUACAUUUGUGUUUGUAUAAAGUGAGAGAGGCGAGGGAGAGUGGCGAGCGAGAUCAAGGAGAGUGGAAAGCGAGAUUUCUGGGGAGAGAGACGAAUGACAAAGUGUUUGCUACAAAUUAGAAUUAAAUGAAACUGUGGUUAUAACAUUUAUUAAUAGUUUGCUAUUUUAUACAAUUUUCCCAAAUUAAUAGCUAGAAAAGAACUUGUCUUAUCUUAAAUUUUAAGAAGAGAUAGUGUCAAACAUUUAUAAGAUAAAGAAACAAAAGAAAAAGAGAGAAAACUAUGUACAUGAAAAACUAAAGAAAUGAAAAAAGGUUAAUUGAAGCUUGUACUAAAGCAUUAGAGCAUCACAUCCUUAAAAAAAAUCAUAGAAACUAUAAAGUAGCUAAACUUUUUUUUCUGUGUCAUUUAUGAAUUAGGACUUAGGUUAGCUAGUGGCUAAACAAACUAUAUAUCCAUAUAAAUAAGAUUUUCUUGUAAACAAUUUUUGGCCACUCAUCUAAUAACACUCUUUAAUUAAACUUUGUAUUAGUCAUGCAGACAACAAGUUUCUCACAAUUUAACAUUCCGUCGAUCGUACAGGCCUCACCUCCCCCUACAACCACCAUACUCCGUCGCAAAACCACCUCAUCACGAAGGUUAUCUCCGCUCUACGCAGUGGCUUCAUCCACAUCUCGCCACCAGGUUACUCACUCAAUGCCACCAGAAAAAUUGGAAAUUUUUAAGUCAUUAGAAUCUUGGGUCUAAAAAAAUGUCCUCUCACUCCGCAUGCCCGUAGAGAAUUGUUGGCCGCCCAUUGAGUUUCUUCCUGACCAUCUCAAGGGCCCAAACAAUUCGAAGAAGAGGUUCGGGCCCUAAGGCAACGAGUUUUAGGGCUUUCAGAUGAGUACUUUGUUAUGCUUGUGGGUAGAGAUGUCAAAAAGGGCCGACCCAGCCCCACCCAGCCCAAGCCUUGCGGGCCAAGGAAUUUGAAGGGCUGGGGAGCGUCGGCCCUUCAUUUGGUAGGGCCUGAAAAUGAUCAACCUAACCCGACCCUAGAAGGGCCGAGGGAUGGGGCGGGCUAGCCCUUCUUUUAUUCUUUUUUUUUCUUUUUCUUUUUUCUUUUCAAACUCAUAAUUUUAUAACAUCAAGAAAAUGAGAAGAUUUUUAAAUCAAAUAUGACAAAUAAUGGUGUUGUUUCAAUAACACUAGCAAAAAUCUAGUGUAAUUAGCAUGUAUCUCGCAUACCAGAACACUAGCAAAAAUUUAGUGUAAUUAGCAUGUAUCUCGCAUACUGGAUAUGCGAGUGAGAUAAGAGAGUGACAAGCAAGAUGGGAGGGAGGCGAGGGUGCGAGAUUUGUAUAUGUAUCUUAGAUACAUGCGAAUCUACUUGGAUAAAGUGUAUCUAGAACAAAUUAACCUAAUUUUGAGUACAUUUUUCUGAGAUACAUGUAUCUAGGUACGAAGAUUCAUAAUAUUACAACAUAACGUGUAUUUAAAUAAUUAGAUUAUAUACUAAUGAGAUUAUUAUAAAUUACUCUUAAAUAAAAAGUUUUGGCCCAUGGGCCGACCCCGGCCCAGCCCCGAUCAAGCCUCAAGGGACAAAGGCUUAUAUGGGCCGGGCUUAUAAGCCCUAGUUUUAGAUGGGCUUGAGAAAUCUUAUCCCAACCCUACCCCAAUAUCGGGUAGGGUUGGGCCGGCCCCAUGGGCUAAGCCCAUUUUGACGACUCUACUUGUGGGUAAUAUGCUAACUGAGGAUGCUUUGCCUACCUAUCAGACCGCGAUUAAUACGUUUGAUGGAGUAUGCGAUGAGACUGGAUUCAGCCCAUGUCCAUGGGCAAUUUGGACUCGGGCAUGGUCCGCUGAGGAAAAUCGACAUGGUGAUCUGCUACGAACUUAUCUUUAUCUUUCAGGGAGAGUGAAUAUGUUGAUGGUCGAGAAAACAUUACAAUACUCUAUUGGAGCUGGAAUUGUAAGUGUUACUCUGAACAUUAUUAUAAAAUUAUUUAUUUAAGAUAGACCUAUAUACAACAUCAUAUAACCUAAAUAAUGCAAUAAAUAAGUUAAAUGAAACAACCAAAUAUGUUGCACUACUCCUAAAAGAAGUAACGAACAUUAAUUAAAUGUUUAAUUUACUACCCUUUUGUUCCAAAUUAAUAAUCCAUCCGUUCAAUUUUACUUGUCACUUAUUUCUAAGAGAUUAACUUGUGUGCACUGGCUGUGUAAAGUUUUUUACACCAUCAGGUAAGUUAAUCGAUCUCUAUGUUAAUCUCUAUCUCUAAAGAGUUUAAGUUUUGUGUACCGUCAAUGUAUAAGAUUUUCUACACUAUUAGGUAAUUUUUAAGAUAAACAUGGUAACUUAAUUAAGUGAUUAAUAAAAUAUAUUUUUGAAUAUAAUUAUAAUUACGGUGAAAUAUAGUAAAUUAAAAUUGAGUCCUCUUUUCUUCUCUAACCAAAAUUAAUUUUAGUUAUCUUCUUAAUUAACCAAGUUUAUUUGUUUUGCUACAUUUGAAUUUUUUUUCAUCUGAAGUAAUUUUCAAUGCCACAAAUAAUUUCUUAAUUGUCGUUGUUUUUUCUUUUGAAAUUUUGGCAAAGUCAUGAUCCGUACACACAAGAAGAAGAAUUUAAAAAAGUAGCAACUUAUUAUUCUGAUAUGCAAUAUUACGAUAUCCCAAAUAUCUUGAAGAUCAAAAGGUUGAUAACAAUAUAAUCACUAAUACAAAUAUAAUUAUUAUCCCUAAGAAAAUUCACAAACAAGAAAACAUGAUUUUUACUGAAAAUAAAUGAGAGAUCAAUACGACGAAGACGCAAAAACUAAAAAAAUAGAACAAGAAGAUAAAGAGAUAGAACCAAAAAACAUCAGAUUCAGAAAACCAAAUAAACUUGGGUAAUUAAGAAGAUAACUAUAAAUUAAUUUUGGUUAGAGAAGAAAGAGGACUCAACUUUCCUUUGGUAUAUUUUACAGUAAUUAUAAUUGUAUUCAAAAAAAUAUUUUAUUAAUUACUUAGAGCCUGUUUGGCAUUGCUGCUAAAAACUGCUUAUCUUUAGAAGCACUCUUUUAAAUGGCUUUUUAAAAAAAUGCUUUUGAAAAAAAGUAAUUUGGGUUUGGCUAAUUCAUUUGAAAAGUGUUUUUGACAAGCAAAUUGUGUUUGACUAAUCUUUUUUAAAAAGUGCUUUUGAGAGUCAAAUUACAAAAAAUGGUAAGUACCAAUGUACGUUUAAUACUGAGAUUAUUUUAUAGAGAGAAACUAUUUUAAAUAUCUAUUAGAAAUUUUUUAAUGAAAAUAUGCAUAUUCAAAUUUUCAUUCAAUAUUAUACAUAAAUAAAUAAAUAAGGUAAAUAUUAAUAUAAUAUUAACAUGAUGACUUAAAUAUAAUUCAAAAUAUCAAGAAAAAUAAAUUAAAAAUUAUUCCACAAAUUAAACCACUAUAUACAAAAAAUUCACCACAAAAAUAAAUAACAUCCUUCAUAUUUUUAAUCCUACAAAAAUGUUGUUGUUACAUUUAUUUCCGAUUCUGUAAAAUAAGACGUAAAUUAAUAUACAAAAUUUAAAAUAAUAAUAAUAGUAUAUAAACAUAAAAUAAAAAAUUAUUAUAUAUAUAAAAAAAAAAUCGUGUAUGAAACUUAACCAAAUUUAUGAUAUAUGUUAAUUAAUUAAUAAGGAAUAUAUUGAAAAAUACGUAUAUAUGGGAGGGAUAUUUUAGUCUUCAAGAAAAUAUUUUUUUGCUUCUACUUUUUUUAAAGAAGCAGAAAUUUUUAGCUUCUUCCAACAACAGAAAAACUGUUUUCCUUCCAUAAAAGCAGUUUUGAGAAUUUGCCAUACACAAUUUUUUUUUUGAAAAAAAAAAGCUUUUAUCGACAAAAGCACUCUUGGCCUCUAACAAUGCUAAACAGGCUCUUAAUCAAGUUACCAUGUUUAUCUUAAAAACUACCUAAUGGUGUAGAAAAUCUUAUACACUAACAGUGCACAAAACUUAAACUUAUUUCUAAGAUAGAUUUUUAUUUUUACUUGCCACUUUUGACAUAUCAAUAAAAGACAAUAUUUUUUCCCAUGUUUUACCCUCAACAUUAAAUACUUAUUUUAAAGACAUCAUUUAAUAGGGGAUAGUUUAAUAAAAUACCUAUGUCAUUAAUUAUUUUUUUAAUGGUGUGUCAAGUCAAAAUAUGACAAGUAAAAAUAAACGGAGGGAGUAAUGUUUUUAAUUUGGACACACUACUUAAUUAAGUAUAUUUUAUUUUAUUUCUAUGAAAAAACCAUCGCCAAAAGGCUGGGUCUUUGGCUUAAGGGGGUUGGCUUGCCCAUUCAAUCUACUCAAAUCUUGAGAAACUACUCAUUUCUAAAAAUAAAAAGUGCUUUUAUUAACUUAGCUCUAAAUAAGGAGUGUUAAUAAAUUCAAAGACUGCUCAUUCCAAAUUCAUUCGAACAAUGUGAUACGUAGUCUUUGAAUUUGGAAUAUUAAAGUUUGUGCAUUAAAAAUCAUAUAAGAAGCAAUUCCCUACAAUUUUUUGAAAAAUACAUAUGUUAUAAAUAUAAAUUGUCUAUCAUGUUUGCAUCUUAGGACGUCGGAGCAGAGAACAAUCAAUACAUGGGCUUUGUGUACACAUCAUUUCAAGAGCGAGCCACAUUUCUAACGCAUGGUAAUAUGGCUAGGUUAGCUACAGAAGGCGGAGACCCGUGCUAGCGCGUAUAUGUGGAACCAUUGCAGCAGACGAGAAGCGGCAUGAGAAUGCCUGCACAAGAAUUAUAGAGAAGUUGCUGGAAGUGGACCCAAACACGACUAUAAUAGCCGUUGCGUAUAUGAUGAGGAAGAGAAUCACAAUGCCACUGCACCUCAUGUAUGAUGGGCAAGAUCCGAAUAUAUUUAAUCACUUUUCGGCAAUUACCCAAAAGCAGGGGGUUUACACAUCUCGUGAUUAUGCUGAAAUAUUAAAUUUUUUCAUUACAAGAUGGGAAUUGGAAAAGCUUGAAUGCUUGACAACGGGGGAGGCGAGACGUGCACAGGAUUUUGUGUGCAGACUUCCACAUAAGAUUAGGAAGUUUGUAAAUCGAGAUAAGAUAUUAGAGUCACGUCCGGUGAAGUUUAGUUGGGUUUUUAACAAGCAGGUUUGUGUUUAAAUGUAUUGAUUUGUAAUAAAUAUGCAAAAUUAAAACUAGUACAUCCUUAAAUUAUUCGUAGCUAAUUUAACUAACAGGAGUAGAACAUAUAGCGAAUAUGCUUGCAAAUGAAGAGGCAAAGAGACUACUUUUUUAUCAUGUCUAGGAGUGACAAACGAGCGAGUCGAGUUGAAUAUGAGUCAAUCAAAAACGAGUUAAAUAAAAAUAGAUAAAGUACUCGACUCGACUCGACUCACAUUUUAAAUGGGUAAAAACGAAUUACUCAAUGGAUAAAUAUGAGUACUCAUAUUAUAGUAGAGAUCUUGUUAAAAGCUUUAAAAAUAAAAUAUUUUUAAAUUAUUUUUUUUAUCACUCCACCCUCCCUACCCCCCUCCCCCCAUCCCAUAAAAAAUAGUUUGUUUUUUAUAUAUAAAAAAAGAAGAAGUUCUUUUUCACCCAACCCCCUACCAUCCUCCUCCCCAUUCCAAAAAAAAUGAAAAUUAAAUUUUUUACUCACAAUAUCCAUCAAUAAAAAUCACAUUUUCUUUUAUUUAUUUUGCUUGUAGUUAAUUUUAAUUUUCAGCUCUUUCAGAAAUUUGUUGCGAACAGGGAGAUCUCAUUAUAAAAUUUGAACAAUUCUCCUUUCUUUGAGUAGGAUUCAUCUCACCCGAUUUUAAAGCUCCCUGCCCAAAUUAAAUUGCAAAACAAUCAUGGAAACUAUAGAGUAGCUACACAUUUUUUUCUCUGCGUCAUUUAUGAAUUAGGCACAAAUUAUAUAUCCAUCUUUAUAAAUAAGAUUUCCUUGUAAACAAUAUUGGUCACUCUUUAAUUAAACUUUGCAUUAGUCAUGAUGCAGACUAUAAGUUUCUCCCAAUUCAACAUUCCAUCGAUUGUACCGGCGUCACUUCCCCCUACAACCACCAUACACCGUCGCAAAACCACCUCAUCACGGAGAUUAUCUCCAGUCCUCGCGGUGGCUUCACCCACAUCUCGCCAUCUGCAGGUCACUCACUCAAUGCCACCAGAAAAAUUGGAAAUCUUUAAGUCAUUAGAACCUUGGGUUUCUGAAAACGUCCUCCCACUCCGCAAGCCCGUAGAGAAAUGUUGGCAGCCCAUUGAGUUUCUCCCUGACCCAUCUCAAGGG